This 253-nucleotide ribosomal RNA is filed under the name uncultured bacterium. RNAcentral describes it as "partial 16S ribosomal RNA". It matches the Rfam family "Bacterial small subunit ribosomal RNA", at positions 524 to 776 of the family's 1533-position model. The record is from RNAcentral.
UACGUAGGGGGCGAGCGUUGUCCGGAGUUACUGGGCGUAAAGCGCACGCAGGCGGUCUGCUAAGUUUGGAGUGACAGUUGGUGGCUUAACUGCCAAAGUGCUUCGAAAACUGACAGACUUGAGGGCUUCAGAGGGACACGGAAUUCCGGGUGGAGUGGUGAAAUGCGUAGAGAUCCGGAGGAACACCAAAGGCGAAGGCAGUGUCCUGGGGAGUACCUGACGCUCAGGUGCGAGAGCCAGGGGAGCGAACGGG